CGUUUAGGGGUAAACCUGAGAAACCCGAAAGUUCGAAGGGAGAAAUUCAUUCGCGUUUCGUGACAGGCGUCGGGCGGUCGAGCGAGACGGAAAGCGUUUCGGCGCGUUUCCGCUCCUUCCGUUCGUGCGAACCGGUCGCGAACGCGUGCACUUUUCUCCUGGUAGGACGUCGCGAUCCGUUGAGCGUCGGUCUACGGUCCGCGGUGGAGCCCGUUACGUCUCGAUUUAUUUCGUGCGUUGCGGACCCGCGGAAUCCCGGCCGACUCGCUCGACGGUACACGAACGGUUCGGGCCCGCUCUUCGGAGCGUCCGACCGGCGACAAGUGCGUCGGUUGUUUGUCGACGAUCGGACCUAGCGCCGAUCGCGACCUCCGAUGGCUGUUGGUCGUCGAGUUCUCGGACAGAGCUCGUUUUUCUUCGGAAAAUAACCGAUCGGCGACGAUAUAGCUUUGGGUACUUUCAGGACCCGUCUUGAAACACGGACCAAGGAGUCUAGCAUGUGCGCGAGUCAUUGGGGAUUGCUAAACCUAAAGGCGCAAUGAAAGUGAAAAGAUCUUCCUCGCGGAGAUUUAUGGGAGGACGAGGGGUCCGCCCUUAAAAGCGGCCUUUCUGCACUCCCGGGGCGUCUCGUUCUCAUUGCGAGAAGAGGCGCACCACGAGCGUACACGCUGGGACCCGAAAGAUGGUGAACUAU
Molecule: ribosomal RNA, 694 nt
Filed under: Phloeocleptus cristatus
Lineage: Eukaryota; Metazoa; Arthropoda; Insecta; Coleoptera; Curculionidae
Description: eukaryotic LSU rRNA
Rfam family: Eukaryotic large subunit ribosomal RNA
Source: RNAcentral